RNAcentral lists this ribosomal RNA (424 nucleotides) under uncultured bacterium. Its description in RNAcentral is "bacterial SSU rRNA". It matches the Rfam family "Bacterial small subunit ribosomal RNA", at positions 355 to 776 of the family's 1533-position model. The record is from RNAcentral.
UAGGGAAUAUUGGACAAUGGGCGAAAGCCUGAUCCAGCCAUGCCGCGUGGAGGAUGAAUGCCCUCUGGGUUGUAAACUCCUUUUAUCUGGGAAGAAACUCCUCGACUUGUCGAGGCCUGACGGUACCAGAGGAAUAAGCACCGGCUAACUCCGUGCCAGCAGCCGCGGUAAUACGGAGGGUGCAAGCGUUAUCCGGAUUUACUGGGUUUAAAGGGUGUGUAGGCGGGUUGGUAAGUCAGUGGUGAAAGCCCCGAGCUUAACUUGGGAACUGCCAUUGAUACUGCCAGUCUUGAAUACGGUUGAGGUAGGCGGAAUAUAACAUGUAGCGGUGAAAUGCUUAGAUAUGUUAUAGAACACCGAUUGCGAAGGCAGCUUACUAAGCCGUGAUUGACGCUGAGACACGAAAGCGUGGGGAGCAAACAGG